UGAAAAAGAAAUUGCACUUUGCCUUUAAUAAAUAGCUAUGUAAACUGUUGAAAUGUGAAGUAAUUAUUUCAAGCAUAUUAAACUUAUUUAUAUAAAUAAAUGCUUUCCUAACCUUCAGUUCAAAAACAGCGGUUUUUGGAAAAGCAAAGACGGAAACUCACAUAUAAAAUGAACUACUUUAGCGGAUAUGGGUUACCACGGUUUAGCAAGGAUCUAACUUCAGAAUUUCAACUAAAACCAGAGUCUACAGAUCGUUUCGUUCAAGUGACUAGAACUUCAGGACGCUGGAGAGAUUUAGUAGACCCAAACAAUGAUUCAAACAACACAUACAUUUACAAAGGAUCCCAGUCAACAGAACUGGACGGCAAACAAAAGAAUUCCAAAAUAAAGUUGUAUGUGGCGAUUUUGAUACUUUUUAUUUUCCUGAUCGUUUCCUGCAUUGGAG
This is a long non-coding RNA of Magallana angulata, 445 nucleotides long. RefSeq lists it as uncharacterized. NCBI's taxonomy places the organism in Eukaryota, Metazoa, Mollusca, Bivalvia, Ostreida, Ostreidae. The transcript has 4 exons. The record is from RefSeq and is a predicted model, not a curated record.